RNAcentral lists this non-coding RNA (45 nucleotides) under Trichobilharzia regenti. Lineage: Eukaryota; Metazoa; Platyhelminthes; Trematoda; Strigeidida; Schistosomatidae. The record is from RNAcentral.
AUCAGGAUGACGAGUCCCAAACGGGGCGAAAUGUGCAUCUGUGAU